This 253-nucleotide ribosomal RNA is filed under the name uncultured bacterium. RNAcentral's name for it is "partial 16S ribosomal RNA". It matches the Rfam family "Bacterial small subunit ribosomal RNA", at positions 524 to 776 of the family's 1533-position model. The record is from RNAcentral.
UACGUAGGUGGCGAGCGUUGUCCGGAUUUACUGGGCGUAAAGAGCGCGCAGGCGGUCGUGCAAGUCGCGUGUGAAAGCCCCCGGCUCAACUGGGGAGGGUCACGCGAUACUGAUCGACUCGAAGGCAGGAGAGGGAAGUGGAAUUCCCGGUGUAGUGGUGAAAUGCGUAGAUAUCGGGAGGAACACCAGUGGCGAAGGCGGCUUCCUGGCCUGUUCUUGACGCUGAGGCGCGAAAGCUAGGGGAGCAAACGGG